This 283-nucleotide small RNA is filed under the name Arabidopsis thaliana (thale cress). RNAcentral describes it as "ATSL264890". Lineage: Eukaryota; Viridiplantae; Streptophyta; Magnoliopsida; Brassicales; Brassicaceae. The record is from RNAcentral.
AUGGAUAACUUUUAUGUUUAUGGGUCUUCAUUGGGUUGCCUGAAUUUUCAGCCCUAUACUAGUUGCAAUCUCAACUUUCCACCCUAAACUUUUAGCCACUUCAAAAACCACCAUAAAAAACUUUGUUCUCGAUAAAACUACACGUACUUUCAGAUUUGUUCUAAAAACUACGCCUCCAAUUGAACCGAUCUGUUAAACGAUAAUUAUACAUCUGGUUUGUUUUACCCAGAAUUUAACCAAAAGUAAUUCGAUUUUGACUCUAUUUUAACCCAAUUUUGACCUA